RNAcentral lists this ribosomal RNA (583 nucleotides) under uncultured bacterium. RNAcentral describes it as "partial 16S ribosomal RNA". It matches the Rfam family "Bacterial small subunit ribosomal RNA", at positions 355 to 935 of the family's 1533-position model. The record is from RNAcentral.
UGGGGAAUUUUGGACAAUGGGGGAAACCCUGAUCCAGCCAUCCCGCGUGUGCGAUGAAGGCCUUCGGGUUGUAAAGCACUUUUGGCAGGAAAGAAACGUCGCGGGUUAAUACCCCGCGAAACUGACGGUACCUGCAGAAUAAGCACCGGCUAACUACGUGCCAGCAGCCGCGGUAAUACGUAGGGUGCAAGCGUUAAUCGGAAUUACUGGGCGUAAAGCGUGCGCAGGCGGUUCGGAAAGAAAGGUGUGAAAUCCCAGAGCUUAACUUUGGAACUGCAUUUUUAACUACCGGGCUAGAGUGUGUCAGAGGGAGGUGGAAUUCCGCGUGUAGCAGUGAAAUGCGUAGAUAUGCGGAGGAACACCGAUGGCGAAGGCAGCCUCCUGGGAUAACACUGACGCUCAUGCACGAAAGCGUGGGGAGCAAACAGGAUUAGAUACCCUGGUAGUCCACGCCCUAAACGAUGUCAACUAGCUGUUGGGGCCUUCGGGCCUUGGUAGCGCAGCUAACGCGUGAAGUUGACCGCCUGGGGAGUACGGUCGCAAGAUUAAAACUUAAAUGAAUUGACGGGGGUCAUAGCUGUUU